This is a long non-coding RNA of Juglans regia (Persian walnut), 2469 nucleotides long. RefSeq lists it as uncharacterized. The transcript is spliced from 4 exons. Lineage: Eukaryota; Viridiplantae; Streptophyta; Magnoliopsida; Fagales; Juglandaceae. The record is from RefSeq and is a predicted model, not a curated record.
CAAAUCGCGUUCAUUUUGAUCCCAGUCGAAAAUGGGCUCUCUCAAACCAGACCACAUCUCUCUCUAGAACCUCGCUCCGAAACGCUCUAAAACUCGCUCCUCCGAAUCCAGCUAGGGGGAAGGGAAGCUUCGGCUCCUUCCUCUUCCUCUCCUCGCCGGCCCUUCGUCUCCGCUGGUUUGGUUUGUGGUGUUCGUCUCCAUUUUCGUGGGGGUCCAGAUCUUACAAACAGAUGUGCCUCCAAAACAAGAACAGUGAUAGAUCUCCCAAAAGAUUGUCAUGGGGAUGAUUUGCAGGAUGGAGAUGGACCUAUAUGAGACAGUUCUGGAGAUGAGUUGAAUGAUUGUCUUGAGAACUGUUGCAAAGGCCUUAAGACGUGCUGCUGAGGGAAAGGCUUCUGCUCAAGCUGAGGCAGCAUGGAAUAUGCUGGAGUUUAAAGGUUUUUCUAAUGUUGAACAAUAGCAGCAUUAAUUUAUGUAUACUUUUUAUGUUAUUUUAAGUAUGUGGAAGAACGGGUCUUUAAUAGUAGGAAAUAUAAAUUGACCUCAACUUAAAUAAGCCUAAUCCCGAAUACUUUGGAGAUGGUUAUUGCUAUCCUUUUCCAUGAUUUAGUUCUUCUAUUCAAGGCCAGGCAGUUCUUUGGUACAUACUUCCACCAUGACCCUACAGCUCCACAGAAACUUUUUUUUGAACUCUUUCUUUUCUUUGUAAAUAGUUUACUAAUACUAUAUCACUUCCUCUCUGUCAUAGAUAUUGGUCUUCAUUGUACUUUCAUCAUAGUUUGCUUUAUUUAUUUAUACUUUCGUCAUAUUAUAGUACUUGUUACUUAUAAUAUAUAUUUGCAUGACUUCAACCAAAUUAAGUUCGAUCAUAGCUUUAAAAUAAUUAAUGGUGAUUAAUUAAUGGAAGGAUUACUUAGCCCCUUUUCUGCAAAAAGUCAAAGACGUAUGCAUGCCAGAUCCAUUUGCUUUAAUUUGGUCUUACUAAAUGAAAUUUUGAUUGAUUAUUGAUCUUGGUUGAACUUGAUAGCUCUGCCAUCUUAUGAAACUUGAGCCUGAUCAGUUACUAACCAUUUAGUCUUGUAGUUUCGUUGUUUCAGUUUAGUGGUGUUGAGUUUAUGAUGCUUAUUUAAUUAAUUUUGAUUCACAAGUGGUCUGUGCAGCAAUCCGGUGAUUCCUUUAAUUACAUUGGAGCUUAGUAGGAAGGGCAAAUAACUAUAUAUUGUGGCAAGUGAAUACGUAUUUUCUAUUCCUGUGAGAGCUUAUCAAACAUUUACAUCUAUUAGAGUUUUUACUUUGUAGGUGUGAUACAUUGAUGCUAGGAAUGGGGAUCUUAAUAUUUAAUCAUGUAAAUGAAAAUUUUAGAUUUACUAUUUGUAGUUGCAUGUGUGCAUCUUAAUGUGUAAUUGUUUCUUCUGUGGACCUUCGCUUCUUUUUCUUCUUCUUUUUUCUUUGUAAAGAAACCUGCACAAUCAUAAUAUGAUUGUGAAGCAUUUGUCAAAGGGUUCAAGAGUUUGAAACUCCAUGAAAAAUAAUUUAUAAACUGUGUAUUAGUUGACUAUGAUACAUAAAAAUGAAAAUGUCGGACCAAAACUUUUUCUAGGUUUUUGUGUUUAUAAAAUCCACACCCCCCCCUCCCCCAAAAAAAAAAAAAAACAAAUUGAAGGAUGUCCUGUUUCUUUUUUUCCCCUUGAUGAAUGAUGGUGAGGCUAAAAACAACAUUAUUUUGGUUUCAUCUUUAGUUCCUGCAUGGUUAUUCAUGUGAGUUAAUACCAUCCAGAUUUGGUAAAAAAAUAAAGAGUAAAAGCACGACUGGCAAGACAAAAGAAUCUAAGAAAAAGAGUUGGUUUUCGGUACUACAGUUGAUAAUGCUUUUUCCCCUUUAUCUAGAUCACUUGUAACUUUAUCAUGCAGUGAUGGAUGUAAUUAUCUGUUUCAAACUACACUUACAAUUUCCUUUAUAUAUGCUAAUAUAUUUUAUGUAUAUAACUAGAAUUAAGUGCACGUGUCUUAUUGCUGGAUAAUUUUUGUUGAUAUAUUGUUUUUACAAUUCUUAACUCUUUCAUUGUUAUGAUCUAAAAUUUUGACAGGCUGAUGUUUCAUGGAGAUCUUGUGAACUUGAUUUCUUACCUCUUGCCAUGAUUUUGUUGGAAGUUGGGACUCACAUCUUUAACCUUCUUGUACUGUUAUGACAUUUGCAGAAACUUGGACGAAGUUCAGAUCGUGAAGUUUUGUAUUGGAGAAGCCACUUUAAAGCAUGUUGUUAUGAUUAUUAUUAUUGUUAAUCUGCGUGCUCUUGUAGGACUCUUUCUGUGCUGGUUUCUUAUUACUUUCUAGAGAAUGCCUGUUUUUCCAUUUUUCUUUCUUUCUAUCAGCUAUUUGAACUUUUUGCAGUAUUAUGUCACUGCUUUUUUUGGUUAACAUUUUCAUUUGACUUUUUGGGUUCCUAAGUUUUUAUGGCUUGCUCAAUUC